GGUUGUGUCUCAGCGGUAGAGUGCUUGCCUUGCACACAUGAGGCACUGGGUUCGAUCCUCAGCACCA
This 67-nucleotide transfer RNA is filed under the name Marmota monax (woodchuck). RNAcentral's name for it is "tRNA.Ala". Lineage: Eukaryota; Metazoa; Chordata; Mammalia; Rodentia; Sciuridae. The record is from RNAcentral.